UUGGAUUUAACUUAGUGGCGGACGGGUGAGUAACGCGUGAGUAACCUGCCUUUCAGAGGGGGAUAACGUUCUGAAAAGAACGCUAAUACCGCAUAACAUCAAUUUAUCGCAUGAUAGGUUGAUCAAAGGAGCAAUCCGCUGGAAGAUGGACUCGCGUCCGAUUAGCCAGUUGGCGGGGUAACGGCCCACCAAAGCGACGAUCGGUAGCCGGACUGAGAGGUUGAACGGCCACAUUGGGACUGAGACACGGCCCAGACUCCUACGGGAGGCAGCAGUGGGGGAUAUUGCACAAUGGGGGAAACCCUGAUGCAGCAACGCCGCGUGAGGGAAGAAGGUUUUCGGAUUGUAAACCUCUGUUCUUAGUGACGAUAAUGACGGUAGCUAAGGAGAAAGCUCCGGCUAACUACGUGCCAGCAGCCGCGGUAAUACGUAGGGAGCGAGCGUUGUCCGGAUUUACUGGGUGUAAAGGGUGCGUAGGCGGCGAGGCAAGUCAGGCGUGAAAUCUAUGGGCUUAACCCAUAAACUGCGCUUGAAACUGUCUUGCUUGAGUGAAGUAGAGGUAGGCGGAAUUCCCGGUGUAGCGGUGAAAUGCGUAGAGAUCGGGAGGAACACCAGUGGCGAAGGCGGCCUACUGGGCUUUAACUGACGCUGAAGCACGAAAGCAUGGGUAGCAAACAGG
RNAcentral lists this ribosomal RNA (679 nucleotides) under uncultured Lachnospiraceae bacterium. RNAcentral describes it as "bacterial SSU rRNA". It matches the Rfam family "Bacterial small subunit ribosomal RNA", at positions 81 to 776 of the family's 1533-position model. The record is from RNAcentral. Lineage: Bacteria; Bacillati; Bacillota; Clostridia; Lachnospirales; Lachnospiraceae.